UUUUUUUUUUUAAAAAAAUAAGUUAACUAUUUUGAUUGCUAUUUAUUCCUCAAAGAUUAAAAAUGAGCUUAUUUAAGUUUAGUGCAUUUUUUUUUUGUUGGUGCAUAGUUUAGUGCAAUUUUACUUGGAAUAGUUCGUGCAAUUUGUUCUAUAGAUAACAAUAAGAGCAUCACCACAUCAAGUCAUCAUCCAAUUAGGGUCUUGAUUAUUGGUCAUGGGAAUUGGAGAUCCUUUUGUUGCUUUGUUCAUUUGCCUUUUAGGAAUUUCAGUGGUGUGUCUCUUUAUUUCAUUGUAGUUUUUUUUCUUGUCUUAUUUUUGAGAUUGUUGAUUCUGGUGGAGUGUAGGUACCUCAUUGUUUACUAAAUUUUCUCUUAUAUUUUUCUCGUUUUUAUAUUUAUAUAUAUAUUAUAGGCAAAAUAGCACCAGGUGUCCUUUAUCUUAUUUUUUGUGCUAGAUACAGUUUUUCAUGUUCCUCUCACAAAAAGGUAGUUAUUUAUAUUUUUUAAUUAAAAAAAGAAAAAAAUUUGUUUUUAAAUAAAAAUAACUUCCCCCAUGUAUCUAGCACAGUAAGAACUGUGUAUAUGGAACUGCACAUAAGUUUGGUCCUUUAUUUAAAAUGACAGAGUACAGUACAUUGGAACGGAUUUUCUUGGUGGCUGAAAGGUGCCUCGCUUUCCAUUUCUUGAAUAUAGGUGUAUCCAUUUAGUAGGAACACUAUUAUGUAUAUGUUGAGAAUAUGUCGAAAAAUCACAUCAUACUUAUUGUGUGGAGCAAUAGAAUGACAACCAAUAAUAAGUGGAAUAAACAAUAUUAAUAACAACAGAUAAAAACGAUAAAGGAGAAGAAACAACACGAU
This 856-nucleotide long non-coding RNA is filed under the name Trifolium pratense (red clover). RNAcentral describes it as "long non-coding RNA (TPRA_LNC008322)". The record is from RNAcentral. Lineage: Eukaryota; Viridiplantae; Streptophyta; Magnoliopsida; Fabales; Fabaceae.